Molecule: ribosomal RNA, 1217 nt
Filed under: Paenibacillus tritici
Lineage: Bacteria; Bacillati; Bacillota; Bacilli; Caryophanales; Paenibacillaceae
Description: bacterial SSU rRNA
Rfam family: Bacterial small subunit ribosomal RNA
Source: RNAcentral
CUACUCUUUACGAGCUGGGAUAAAGUACGAAUCGUAGCUAAUCCGGUAUCCUUCUUCAUGAGGAAGAGAUGAAAUGCUGAGCCAAUCUGGCUACCUGAGGGAUGGCCUGCCGAGCAUUAGCUAGUUGUGAGGUUACCGCUCACAAGCGACGAUGCGUAGCGACUGAGAGGGUGACACACACCUGGGACUGAGACACGGCCCAGACUCUACGGGAGGCAGCAGUAGGGAAUCUCGCAAUGGGCGAAAGCCUGACGGAGCAACGCCGCGUGAGUGAUGAAGGUUUUCGGAUCGUAAAGCUCUGUUGCCAGGGAAGAACGUCCGGUAGAGUAACUGCUACCGGAGUGACGGUACGUGAGAAGAAAGCCCCGGCUAACUACGUGCCAGCAGCCGCGGUAAUACGUAGGGGGCAAGCGUUGUCCGGAAUUAUUGGGCGUAAAGCGCGCGCACGCGGCUAUUUAAGUCUGGUGUUUAAACCUUGGGCUCAACCUGAGGUCGCACUGGAAACUGGGUGGCUUGAGUACACAAAAGAAAAGUGGAAUUCCACGUGUAGCGGUGAAAUGCGUAGAUAUGUGGAGGAACACCACUGGCGAAAGCGACUUUCUGGGCUGUAACUGACACUGAGGCGCGAAAGCGUGGGGAGCAAACACGAUUAGAUACCCUGGUAGUCCACGCCGUAAACGAUGAGUGCGAGGUGUGAGGGGUUUCGAUACCCUUGGUGCCCAAGUUAACACACUAAGCACUCCGCCUGGGGAGUACAGUCGCAAGACUGAAACUCAAAGGAAUUGACGGGGACCCGCACAAGCACUGGAGUAUGUGGUUUAAUUCGAAGCAACGCGAAGAACCUUACCACGUCUUGACAUCCGGAUGAAAACAUUAGAGAUAGUGCCCCUCUUCGCACAUCAGACAGAUGGUGCAUGGUUGUCGUCACUCUGUCUGAGAUGUUGGGUUAAUCCCGCAACAACCGCAACCCUUGACUUUAGUUGCCACCAGGUAAGGCUGGGCACUCUAGAUGACUGCCGGUGACAAACCGCAGAAAGGUGGGAUGAAGUCAAAUAUCAUGCCCAUUAAACUGGGCUACACCGUACUACAUGGCCGGUACAACGGGAACGAAACCAAGAGGUGGAGCCAAUCCCAGCAAAGCCGGUCUCAGUUCGGAUUGCAGGCUGCAACUCGCCUGCAUGAAGUCGGAAUUGCUAGUAAUCGCGGAUCAGCAUGCC